This is a long non-coding RNA of Sceloporus undulatus (fence lizard), 1560 nucleotides long. RefSeq lists it as uncharacterized. The transcript has 4 exons. NCBI's taxonomy places the organism in Eukaryota, Metazoa, Chordata, Lepidosauria, Squamata, Phrynosomatidae. The record is from RefSeq and is a predicted model, not a curated record.
UUACAAUUAAACAUUGAGAUCCUGAAGAAAAAAGCAAAACUUCAGCAACUGGAAAUUCAAAGAAGCAUUAUAUACAGAAGGACUUCAUUUAUUUUGUCCUUGUCUUCCUACAGUGAAGCCUGAUGCUGAUCAAGAUUUCUUUUGGAUGCUCCUGGCCAUUGCCUGACCUAGGGGAUGCCCCAGUUCACUUUUGCUUGCUUUUGUGGGCUCCAUGGCUUCUGCAAAAUGAAGAGGAAAAAGGAAGAGGCCAGCAGUGAGCAAGAGACAGCUGUUUGAGGAGAGAAAACAUUCCCUUGGUGUAUUAUUUUCAACUGUAUUGAGUUGGAAGAAAACUGUUGCUACAGUAACUUGACAAAGGAAUGAUGUUGCUGUAGGAGAUUCCUGAGCUGUUUCAAACCUGUAACUCUGAAGAGCAGUACAAUAAUUGUCUGAAGCCACAAUGAGGAUUCAUCUGGCAUUCAGUCAUUGACCUCACUGAAUCAGCCUGAAAUGUUUACAGGAGUGAAUUUUGCAAGAAAACUGUCACUGAACUGGUUUACGGUAAAGAACACUUUUACAUGGCAAGCAGGAAGGUACAGGAUAUGGACAAAGAAUAGAAAUGAAAGCAAGGAAAGGGAAAUCACUCAGAUUUCUUUUGUAGCACCUGCCUUUGCAAAAUGAAACUGUAAAAAAUUAAACAGACUGUCUCACCCAAGCUAAUAUACCUUGUUAUGUACAAUUGCACUAUUAAUACUGGAAUCUUAAAACUGUGAAAUAGGGACAAUAAUUUUUGUGACACUGACAUUGGCAAUUUAAAAAUCUAUUUGAUCAUUAAGUUUGUUGCAAUUUGUACAAUGGUUGCGUUUCAAUAUUAUCCAAAAUUGGAAUUAUUCUUUUAAAAAUUGUUAUGACAGAUGUACUUAUUUCACUAAGGAUGAUGUCAUGAUAAGCACUUUAUUCUACAGUGUCAAUAGUUACAGGUUUUAGAAAGAGUGAGCUAGAUCUCACUGAAAUGUUUAUGAUGUUUUGGCUCUUCAGACUAUUUUCUCUCAGAAGACCCCUCUCACUGUUUCUUAUUUUCCACCUGUGUUGCCUCUAGCUAGUUCCUAUGUGCUCUGACACUUACUCCCAAGGACAGUGCUUUUAUCAUUACUACAUUUAUGAAACUUUCUAAAUUUUAGGUGGUUGGCUAAGGAUUUUCUCAAAAUUCAGGCUGCUCAUGCCAUUAUUCAAAUAUUUAUUACAAUCAUGUUCUUCCCCCGCCCUCAUAAUCCAUAGAAAAUAUUGCAUGAACCAAAUCUUUCCGGAAUUGCCACUGUAACAAAUAUUCAGUUUACUUCCAGACAGUUAUAAGCCACAAUUCUGUGCUUAUUUAGGUAUGCAGUAUGCAAUAUUGUGUGCUAUAUUGAUUUUGUAUCUCUGAUUUAUGAGAACAGCAGUUGUACAUGAUCUGUUUAUUGAAUGUACCUGCAUUCACUUUGCACAGUUACACCUAAGAAUACUAGUUAUGUAUAUAGAGAUUAGUGAUUCAGCUUGACUCUGUUUAAUACAAUAUCUACAGACAUAUAUAUAUAUAUAUAU